RNAcentral lists this ribosomal RNA (468 nucleotides) under uncultured bacterium. Its description in RNAcentral is "partial 16S ribosomal RNA". It matches the Rfam family "Bacterial small subunit ribosomal RNA", at positions 28 to 507 of the family's 1533-position model. The record is from RNAcentral.
GACGAACGCUGGCGGCGUGCUUAACACAUGCAAGUCGAACGGAAAGGACCGGCGCUUGCGGGGGGCUCGAGUGGCGAAAGGGUGAGUAACACGCGAGUAAACUGCCCUUGACAUUGGGGUAACUUAAGGAAACAGGGGCGAUUAAAGGAUAGGAGCUCCCGCUGCAUGGUGGGGGUUGGAAAGUUUCGGCGGUUGGGGAUGGACUCGGGGUUUAUCAGGUUGUUGGUGGGGUAGGGGGUGACCAAGGCUUUGCCGGGUAGCCGGCCUGAGAGGGUGGCCGGCGACAUUGGGACUGAGAUACGGCCCAGUCUCCUACGGGAGGCAGCAGUCGGGAAUAUGGCACAAUGGGCGCAAGCCUGAUGCAGCAACGCCGCGUGCGGGAUGACGCGCUUCGAGUUGUAAACCGCUUUCGCCUGUGACGUAGCGUGAGUGACGGUAAUGAGUAAAGAAGCACCGGCUAACUACGUG